CCUACGGGGGGCAGCAGUAGGGAAUCUUUCACAAUGGGCGACAGCCUGAUGGAGCAACGCCGCGUGCAGGAUGAAGGCCUUCGGGUUGUAAACUGCUUUUAUAAGCGAGAAAUAUGAUGGUAACUUAUGAAUAAGGAUCGGCUAACUACGUGCCAGCAGCCGCGGUCUUACGUAGGAUCCGAGCAUUAUCCGGAGUGACUGGGUGUAAAGAGUUGCGUAGGUGGCAUAAUAAGUAGCUAGUGAAAUCUGGUGGCUCAACCAUUCAGACUAUUAGCUAAACUGUUAAGCUCGAGACCGUUAGGGGUAACUGGAAUUGCUAGUGUAGGAGUGAAAUCCGUAGAUAUUAGAAGGAACACCGGUGGCGAAGGCGGCUUACUGGACUGUAACUGACGUUGAGGCUCGAAAGCGUGGGGAGCAAACAGGAUUAGAUACCCUUGUAGUC
This 442-nucleotide ribosomal RNA is filed under the name uncultured bacterium. RNAcentral describes it as "partial 16S ribosomal RNA". It matches the Rfam family "Bacterial small subunit ribosomal RNA", at positions 338 to 795 of the family's 1533-position model. The record is from RNAcentral.